RNAcentral lists this long non-coding RNA (2954 nucleotides) under Apteryx rowi (Okarito brown kiwi). Its description in RNAcentral is "lncRNA (ENSARWG00000018703.1)". The record is from RNAcentral. Lineage: Eukaryota; Metazoa; Chordata; Aves; Apterygiformes; Apterygidae.
CUCAGUGUCUACCUAAGAGCCCAUAUUCAUUUACAAAUGCAGCAUCUUUUGACAAGGUAAAGCAGCAGCCUAAGGACGGUUUUAGCAUCUCUGCCUACCACAGGACUGUGGUAGAAAGAAGUUGUUGAGGUCACAUGAGAAGGUGUGUCUUAUUUCCUCUGGUUAACAGAAACAGCAAAGUACCCCCUGGGGACUGUGUUUAGUUGAAACAUUUCCUUUGUUGUAAACAACAAGUUGUGCCCUAGGAAAGGACCUGCUGAAAGGAUCUGGAGGAUGAAAUGUGCUUCACUCAGCUUGGCUUCUCUCCUGGUGACGCAGACCAUCAGCCAGUGCAACUGAAGCAUCAGUACAAUAAGGAGAAGAGAGACAGAAGAGGACAGGAAAAUGGCUGGUGUGCCACAGCAACAGCUGUUGGGGAACACAGAAGGGCAGACAACCCUCCUAGAGGCCACAGGCUUUAAUACUCCUAUCAGCUUUUCAAAUGCUUAAUAAUGUUUUUUUUUUGGUUUAACACAAUGUUUAKCUCAGUGUUUAACAAAGUUUUCACUGUUAUUUAUUACAAAAAUCACUGAAAAUGUCUUUCCAUUCCACAGAAAGUGCGAUUAAUUCUGCACAUAAAAUAAGGAGCACAGUUGCUUAUGGAUCUGGAAGGAGACAGACACCUCCAGAAGCUCAGUCAGAUGGGAAGAAUUGUCCUCUGGAAACGCCGAUUACCUUCCACAGGCUACAAAGAGAUGUUAGGGCUACUAUGCUCAAAAUUUCAGCAACUUGGAACUAUACCUACAAGGGAAAAACUCAUGUCUGUCUUUCUGUGGGAAUGUCCUAACAAAGUCUUGGAAAACAGACUUGACAUUUCUAGGACACAUCCUUCUACUAAUCUGUAAGAAUGAAUUCUACAUAUUCAGUAAAGGUUCAAUUAAGUAAUUUUAAUUAUUCCAUCAAAUAGUUCCUCAAGACAGUAAAAGAGGUUCUUGACUUUUUUGUAAACUUAUCAUGAAACUGGAGCAUUCAAUAUUUCUCAAAUGAUUACCUACCAUAUAAAAUAUUUGUUACUUCACAUUAUUACCAUACAGACUGUAUUUGCCCCCUACUUUGCCUAAAUCUUAUCUGGACAUCUACCUAGCCAAGAACAUAUCACCAGACAGUUGAAAUACUCUUCUAUGGAGAGUAUUAUUUUCAUGUAAGACUCUUCUGCUUCAGUGAUGACUACCUGCCAAUUCUAAAGAACCUUAAAUCCAGUCAUCUUUACCAAAGGACUGUUUUCUUAGAAAAAAAUAUCAAAAUGAGCUGUUUGAAGUGGUGUAACUGUCUUACAGUUCAAAACCUUGAACACAACACUAGUAUUCCUAAUGGUGGUCUCAAGAGAAAAUUGGUCCAGUAAUAGGCCAGGUUAAGAAACCAGCUCUGAAGCACAACGCUUCCCAUGUGAUGUCUCAGACAUUAAAACCAUUUCAAGCAGAAAUGCCUUCCAGAAUUGAGACAUGUAACUGAUUGCUACUUUCUAGCAAGGAGAAGAGAGAGGCAGGAGGGAGAGAGGGGAGGGAGAGAGGGGAGGGAGAGAGGGGAGGGAGAGAGGGGAGAGAAGAACGAAUAUGACUGAAUAUAUGGAGAGGGGUGGCAGAAACUGACUUUCAAAGUAAUGAAGCAAUAUUUGAUGCAUUUGGCCCAUUGUAUAAAAUAUCAUAUUUGGGGAAACAAUAUGCAGAAGCCUUAGAUUCUGAUGGUUCUUCAGAAGAAGGCAUUGACUGGACUGUGGAAAUAUGCUGGCAUAGUUUGUAUUUGUUGCCUUGAGAAGGCUGAACUUUUUUAGUUGGUCACAGAAAGUUUGCUUCUGACAUGUCCUAGGAAAAAGUCUUUCAAAGGUUCUCUUCUUAUGCAGCAUUAUUUAUAAUGAUUCUGAUACAGAUUCCAAUAUGCGAUAGUAUGACAGCCACAACAUAGUUUUUAAACUAUGCAUGCUAAGAAGAAAAACCUACUUAUAAAUAAUAACAAAACCUUUAUUUUCUGCAUCAUGUUUUAGAACCAGACAUUUCUUCUAUAUCAUGCUCAUUGAUUCCACAGUAUGUGAAGUAUGCAGAUUUUGUGUAUUUAUUUUCAGUGAAAAAUUUUGGACUGGAGCCAGAAAACAACAGCUGGCUCUGGUCCAGAAUUAUCUGCUGUAACAUGAGGUGGGGUCACUGGAAAAUUAAUGGUCAGUGAAACAUCUGCUUUGAAAAGGUUCUUGUAUACAAGAUAAGGAAAAGACAAGACAGAUCACCCUAUAUAUAAAAUAACUCAACAGAUUAAAAAAGGGCAAAAUGGGAACUUGAAAAGACAUCUCUCACAUACCAGGUGACUGCCUUCACUAAUACUGUAAGAAUACAGUUUCUUUUUUCACAAGAAAAGUUCUGCAGUCUUCUUAUGUAGAAUAAGAAGUCUGUAUUCCUGAAAAGUUUCACAGAGCAGGAAAUUUAUUUCCUACCCUCUCAUGACAGUGGUGUGGAAACGACAGGGCAAACCAGCCAACCAGUACUCCUCCAAUAUUGCAUUCCAGGAAAGAAAAAACACUGUCUCUCCAAGAAAAUAUCUGAAUGAAAUGGCUAAGAAGGGUGGUAAUCAGUAAUGUCAGAAAAAGCAGAGACUUAUGAAAUAUUUGAUACACUUAACAUAAUCUUUUACACUAAAGCUUUCUCCUUAAUUAUCUUAUGAUUUUAAUGAUCCCUGCAUAACUUUUAUGCAUAGGCAAAGAUUUAUAAAAACACUGUAUUUGAACUUACAGAAAUUAAAUUAAUUCAUAGAAUUCCCUAUUAUUAAGAAGGGGAGCCCUGCUAAUUAUAUAUCAAUAACAUCUAACCUUUCAAAAAUACUUUACCGAAAGCUAUACAAACAAGAAUAAUUUGAUAAGAACAGGAACCAUUUAGCUGCACUGGGAGGAGUCCAAUAAAGAAACGGAAUGAAAUAAAUCCUGGAAUUUA